This 465-nucleotide ribosomal RNA is filed under the name uncultured bacterium. RNAcentral describes it as "bacterial SSU rRNA". It matches the Rfam family "Bacterial small subunit ribosomal RNA", at positions 917 to 1382 of the family's 1533-position model. The record is from RNAcentral.
GGACCCGCACAAGCGGUGGAGCAUGUGGUUUAAUUCGACGCAACGCGAAGAACCUUACCUGCUCUUGACAUCCUCUUGACCGGUCCGUAAUGGGACCUUCCCUUCGGGGCAAGAGUGACAGGUGGUGCAUGGUUGUCGUCAGCUCGUGUCGUGAGAUGUUGGGUUAAGUCCCGCAACGAGCGCAACCCCUAUCUUUAGUAGCCAGCAGUUCGGCUGGGCACUCUAGAGAGACUGCCAGGGAUAACCUGGAGGAAGGUGGGGAUGACGUCAAAUCAUCAUGCCCCUUAUGAGCAGGGCUACACACGUGCUACAAUGGCGUAAACAAAGAGAAGCAAAGUCGCGAGGCCGAGCAAAUCUCAAAAAUAACGUCUCAGUUCGGAUUGUAGUCUGCAACUCGACUACAUGAAGCUGGAAUCGCUAGUAAUCGCAAAUCAGAAUGUUGCGGUGAAUACGUUCCCGGGUCUU